Molecule: ribosomal RNA, 301 nt
Filed under: uncultured bacterium
Lineage: Bacteria
Description: partial 16S ribosomal RNA
Rfam family: Bacterial small subunit ribosomal RNA
Source: RNAcentral
CAGUCGCCACGGUAAUACGUAGGGUGCGAGCGUUAAUCGGAAUUACUGGGCGUAAAGCGUGCGCAGGCGGUUUUGUAAGACAGGCGUGAAAUCCCCGGGCUCAACCUGGGAAUGGCGCUUGUGACUGCAAAGCUAGAGUGCGGCAGAGGGGGAUGGAAUUCCGCGUGUAGCAGUGAAAUGCGUAGAUAUGCGGAGGAACACCGAUGGCGAAGGCAAUCCCCUGGGCCUGCACUGACGCUCAUGCACGAAAGCGUGGGGAGCAAACAGGAUUAGAUACCCCGGUAGUCCCUGUCUCUUAUAC